Molecule: unclassified non-coding RNA, 300 nt
Organism: Erinaceus europaeus (western European hedgehog)
Lineage: Eukaryota; Metazoa; Chordata; Mammalia; Eulipotyphla; Erinaceidae
Gene: 7SK
Rfam family: 7SK RNA
About the family: 7SK was discovered as an abundant small nuclear RNA in the mid-70s but a possible function has only recently been suggested. Two independent studies have found that 7SK RNA binds the CDK9/cyclin T complex (known as elongation factor P-TEFb).
Source: Ensembl
AGACGUGAGGGCGAUCUGGCUGCGACAUCUGUCACCCCAUGGAUCACCAGGGUUGAUUUGGCUGAUCUGGCUGGCUAGGCGGGUGUCCCCUUCCUCCCUCACUGCUCCAUGUGUGUCCCUCCCAAAGCUGCACAUUGAAGAGGACGGCCUUCCCCGAAUAGAGACAGACUGGUCUUGGGUUGAGGGUAUACGUAGCUGCAUUCCCCUGCUAGAACCUCCAAACGAGCUCUCAAACUGGUCUCAUUUUAUUGAAAAUCUGUCUGAUGAUAAUGCAGAACAUGAGAAACAAACCUACUCUAU